RNAcentral lists this non-coding RNA (699 nucleotides) under Liposcelis nr. bostrychophila AZ. The record is from RNAcentral. Lineage: Eukaryota; Metazoa; Arthropoda; Insecta; Psocodea; Liposcelididae.
UCUCAGAUUAAGGCCUAAAAAUUCAAGACAUUUGUAAAUUAGAUGAAACAAUUAAAGCUAUAAAAUUUUUAUUGACUCUUAGAUAAUAGUAAAGUUUUAAGAUUAAAACAAUUGUUUUAUAAAGACAAAAGAGGGAAAAAUAUGUGCCAGCUCCAGCGGUAAAACAUAUAUCUUGUUUAAUUUUUACGAGGUCAGAAUUAAAAAUUUUUUAUAAAAUUAAAAUUUAAUAAGUCUAAUUUUAUAUUUAAGAUUAAAUCUUUAAUAAUUCAUAAGAAACGGCAAACUGGGAUUAGAUACCCCACUAUAAAUCGAAAAUUAUCAUCCUUUGGCGACACAACAAAAAUUUAUGGCGGCUCUUAUUCAUAUUAGAGGCUUAUGAGCCUAAAAGAUGAUCCCCUAAAAUCUUACUUUAGUUUGUUUAUACAUUUUUUAUAUCGCCGUUUAAAGAAAGUUUUUUAAAUUACUUUCUUCAUAAUCAAUUACUCCUAAAAACAGGUAAAGAUGAAGAUUACACUAAAGGAAACUUGUAAGCCAUUAAAUUAAAUGUUAAUAAUUAUUAAGAUAUAAAAAGAAUUUAAAAGUAAAAUUUUUUUAUUAUAAAAAUUUGAAGAAUGUUAAUAAGAGUGUACAAACCGCCCGUCACUUCUAGUUCCUAUAGAAUAAGUCGUAACAAGGUUAAUUUACUGGAAAGUGAAAUAA